ACUAGUAGAAAAAUAGAAAAAGCCACCCCACUUUUGCCACCGGUUCUUAAAAACCGGUGUGAAAAAUAAUGGGGUUGAAUUUGGAUAAUCACUUUUGCCACCGGUACCUGAAAAACCGGUGCCUAAUUCUAAUUUUUUUUUGAAAAAAAAAGGAGGAAAACAGAUUUUCCACCGGUUCAAACCAAACCGGUGGGGAAAGGUGCUUUUACCAGCGGUUCGAACCGGUGGCAUUUAAAAAAAAAAAACAAACCCGCCUAAUUAUACUACCUUCUUUUUCCUUCGUUCAGCACUAUUCCAUUCAUUCGCAUUCUCCAUAUCCCCUGCUUUCCCAUGCUGUUCUUCUCGCCUCCAUUACUGCAACUUCAUCAAUUAUUCUUCCUCUCUCGUUCUCGCCUACAUACGACCCUCACCAUUGUUCUCGUCCUUCCUGUCGUCCUCCAUUGAAGCACAUUCUGGGUUUCUCACCUCCAUUGCCGCGCAACUCUUCUCUUUCUCUCCAUAACUCUCCUCCAUUAAAGCGCAUUCUGUCGAGCAUUCUUACCUCCAUUGAAGCGCAUUCUGACUUUCCAACUGCUUUGAGGUUUGAUCCACUGACAGAAUCAUACCAUUAUGACAUGGAGGGUACUGGUGUAAUAUGCUCAGCGGUCGACAUCCUCCCUACUGAGUUUGCCAAAGAGAUUCAUAUGUGAAUUGAAGCACAAGUUUAGCUUGAAGACUACAAAUUUAGCUUAAUUGUGGUGGAUGAGGUGGAGGAUGAAGGGGAGAAUGAAAUGAUGCGUGGUGUUGAAGGUGACGUGUUUGAGUCGCUAUCGGAGGCUUCUAAAAAGCCUUUGUAUCCUAGGUGCAAAAAAUACUCCAAACUAUCAGCUGUUGCGCACAACAAGAUAACGGGGUUGAUUGCGGACUAUACGUGAUGAGAUUCAUGUUGGACAUAAUGACUCAUUGCACAGACUUACAACAGCUUGAUGAGUUUUGCAAGGUGCAGAAAGGAGGUCCAUUGAUGAGCAAAGAGCUGAAUGAAGUUCGAGAUAUUUUAGCGUCUUUCAUUACAUAUAAUUUAAUUUGAACUUGUAAACUUGUACAUUAAUUAUUAGUAUAGUUUGUAAAUAUAACACCUUUUAAUUAAUGAGUUGUAAAAGCUAUAUGACAUUUCAUUGUAUCGCAUUUACGGUUAUUAAUUAAUAUUUAUGUAUUGUUGUCAUUAUUCCAAUGUAAUAAUUAUCAUAUUAUUAGUAUUUUUAAUAAUAAUAAUAAUAAU
Molecule: long non-coding RNA, 1258 nt
Organism: Chenopodium quinoa (quinoa)
Lineage: Eukaryota; Viridiplantae; Streptophyta; Magnoliopsida; Caryophyllales; Amaranthaceae
Exons: 5
Source: RefSeq, a predicted model, not a curated record